This 446-nucleotide ribosomal RNA is filed under the name uncultured bacterium. RNAcentral describes it as "partial 16S ribosomal RNA". It matches the Rfam family "Bacterial small subunit ribosomal RNA", at positions 338 to 795 of the family's 1533-position model. The record is from RNAcentral.
CCUACGGGUGGCAGCAGUCGAGAAUCAUUCACAAUGGGGGAAACCCUGAUGGUGCGAAGCCGCGUGGGGGAAUGAAGGUCAUCGGAUUGUAAACCCCUGUCAUGAGGGAGCAAAUUAAAAAGCUAGUACCCCAAGAGGGAGAGCCGGCUAACUAUGUGCCAGCAGCCGCGGGAAUACAGAUGUCUCAAGCGGAGUUCGGAAUCACUGGGCGUAAAGCGUUCGUUGGAUGUUGUGUACGGCGUGCGGGAAAGGCGCGGGGUCAACCCCCGGACGGCAGAUGAGACUGGGUGACUAGAGUAGUGGAGGGGGAUCCGGAAUGCGCGGUGUAGCAGUGAAAUGCGUAGAUAUCGAGAGGAACACUCGUUGCGAAGGCGGGUUCCCGGACAUAAACUGACGCUGAGGCACGAAGGCCAGGGUAUCGAACAGGAUUAGAUACCCCUGUAGUC